This 476-nucleotide ribosomal RNA is filed under the name delta proteobacterium oral taxon C53. RNAcentral's name for it is "bacterial SSU rRNA". It matches the Rfam family "Bacterial small subunit ribosomal RNA", at positions 29 to 485 of the family's 1533-position model. Lineage: Bacteria; Deltaproteobacteria. The record is from RNAcentral.
AACGAACGCUGGCGGCGUGCCUAACACAUGCAAGUCGAACGUGAAAGUCCUUCGGGAUGAGUAAAGUGGCGCACGGGUGAGUAACACGUAGGUAACCUGCCGUUUAGAGGGGAAUAACCAGAAGAAAUUUUGGCUAAUGCCGCAUACGAAGUACAAAUCUAAAAGUAGUACUUGAAAGAAUGCCUCUGCAUAUGCAUUCACUAAACGAUGGGCCUGCGGGACAUUAGCUAGUUGGUGGGGUAAAGGCCUACCAAGGCAACGAUGUCUAUCCGGUCUGAGAGGAUGAUCGGACACACUGGAACUGAGACACGGUCCAGACUCCUACGGGAGGCAGCAGUGGGGAAUAUUGCGCAAUGGGGGAAACCCUGACGCAGCAACGCCGCGUGAGUGAGGAAGGACUUCGGUCUGUAAAGCUCUGUUAAUGUGGAAAAAUGAUAGGCGGUCUAAUAGGCCGUUUAUUGGAUGGUACACAUAGA